RNAcentral lists this long non-coding RNA (969 nucleotides) under Homo sapiens (human). Its description in RNAcentral is "HSALNT0386591". The record is from RNAcentral. Lineage: Eukaryota; Metazoa; Chordata; Mammalia; Primates; Hominidae.
CCGCGGGACCAGAAGGCAGUGACCCACCUGGACCCAGCUUUCACUGUCUUGUGUGUGUCUAUUAUUUCUCAACCUGCCGAUCCACCUAGGAGCAGAGAGAGAGCCCCGUUGCAUUGCAGGCUGCUGGCCAGAUCCCGCAAUAGCUGCUCAAACAGAAGGCAGGUUGUCUGAAUGGAGCAUGGUGAAGAGGGAAGGAAACAGACUUGGCAGUCAUUCACCUGCAGUGUCCUUGUCAAGACUCACUAAAUCCGGGAAGCAGCUAAGUGGUCCAUAAAGGGCCGUCUCUGGUAAAAGGCUGGUUUGUUCACAGGCUUCUUGUGUGGCUGGUGUGAAACAUCCCUUACUCUGUGCUCUUCCUCCAUACCCAGAAAGUGAGCCACAGAUGACCAUCUCCCAAAUACUCAGUGCAGAAAGUGGAGGUCCUUGUAGGAUGGCACGAGCAUUUUUGUUCCUGGGAAGGCAACUGGUACCUGACAAAGACUGAAAGCUAGGGAUGGAGAAGAGACUGCAGCUUGAUUGAGCAUCCAAGGACAGAGCUCUUGGCCAAACUACCUUGUGUCUUGAGGGUCCUAAGACCAAAACUUCUAGAUGGAAGACAAGGAGGAAGAAAGCAUUCCAAGUCAGGUUCCCUGGGAAAUAAGAUUUGCAUACAGGAGAUUCUUGGGGCAGUUCCCUCAAGAUGAAGACCCGGAGGUGGUGAAGAACUCUGGAGCUGAAAGAGAGAGGUGUUUAACAGUUGCCAACUCACCAAUGGCCCUGGGGAACUCUAGAACUGGGAUGGCUCUUUAUUAUUGUCCUGUUUUGAGGCAAGGGCCUUUCUUCUCAACUACAUGGACCAGUCAUUGGAGGUGGCUGCCCCAGGGAAAGGACUGUGAGUUUAGGUGAGGCAACUCUCUUCAGCUAAAAGCAAACCUUAGCAAGGCACUCAGCUGUGAAAUGUCAGCUGCUAAUAUUAUCAGCUGCUGGUGG